GACGAACGCUGGCGGCGUGCUUAACACAUGCAAGUCGAACGGAAAGGCCCUGCUUUUGUGGGGUUCUCGAGUGGCGAACGGGUGAGUAACACGUGAGUAACCUGCCCUUGACUUUGGGGUAACUUCAGGAAACUGGAGCUAAUAUCGUAUAGGAGCUCCUGCUGCAUGGUGGGGGUGGGAAAGUUUCGGCGGUUGGGGAUGGAUGCGCGGCUUAUCAGCUUGUUGGUUGGGGAGUGGCUUACCAAGGCUUGGACGGGUAGCCGGCCUGAGAGGGUGACCGGCCACAUUGGGACUGAGAUACGGCCCAGACUCCUACGGGAGGCAGCAGUGGGGAAUAUUGCACAAUGGGCGGAAGCCUGAUGCAGCAGCGCCGCGUGCGGGAUGACGGCCUUCGGGUUGUAAACCGCUUUAGCCUGUGACGAAGCGUGAGUGACGGUAAUGGGUAAAGAAGCACCGGCUAACUACGUG
RNAcentral lists this ribosomal RNA (468 nucleotides) under uncultured bacterium. RNAcentral describes it as "partial 16S ribosomal RNA". It matches the Rfam family "Bacterial small subunit ribosomal RNA", at positions 28 to 507 of the family's 1533-position model. The record is from RNAcentral.